CCCCCCCGCCCCGCGUCCCUCCUUCCGACGGGGCGGCGAGCGCCCGGAGCCCCCACCCCGCUUCAUCCCGAGGACUCCGCGCUUCUUAGGGCCGGGGCCGCCCGGGCCCCCUCUCCUCCCCGCUCCUGUCCCAGCCCGACCCCUCUGCCCGCGCCGCGCCGCGCCACCAGCACCCGGCAUCCGCACCGGAGCCCACGGCCGCGAGAGGCGAUGCCACGCGCUGCGCUGCGCUGCGGGGGGGCCGUCUCUGGACCAAUGUCCAUUGUCUCUUUUUAUUUUCUCUUUUUGAUUUCCACCCCCCCCGCCCCGUUCCGCAGAAUUGUUGGUUUUUUUUUCCGGGAUGCAAAACUCCAAGCGCCCGAACCGGAGCCCGUCACUGAGCAGGUGGAAAGCCGGCAGGUUGCUGAAGACGGAGGGGCCUCGCGCCGCCGCCCGGGAACCACGAGGAAGAGGAAAGAGGCAAAAAACGUCACCUGACGCCAAACACCGAGCCGGCACCGCCCGGCACCGCAAGCCGCGCUGCACGGAGAGCUGGCAGCUCCGGCUGAGCUGGCGGCACACGGGGCGAGGAGAGCAGAGCGCGGCGGGGGAAGAAACGGCGCAGCGGAAAAGAGAGAGAAGGAACGGGACGAGGCGGGGUGACCCGGGAUGGGGGGCGGGGGGGGUUUGGGGGCGGCCUUUGGUGCCGGGGGAGCCGGCUGCGCUCCUGCUCCCCAGCAGCUGCGGGCAGGGCCGGGCUCCGGGCGGCGCGGUUCGGUUCGGUUGUUCCUCCUGUGUCCGUACGUCCACGGCCCGGGCUGCGUGCAUGGACGAGGUGGUUGUUUUGCUUGGUUUUGUUUUUGUUUUUGUUCUUUCAAUGGCUUGGGUUCUGUAGGAAACGGGCAAAAGGGGUUUGAUCCGGAAGGGGAAUGCCAGGUUCGUGGAGCUUCCAGAUUUCUGUCGCCCCAGAAGGGACGGUUUGAGAGCGCGACGACCGGAGCUGCGCAAACGGCAAUGUAAAUCUUGUAUAGCCCCAAAGCUUCGUGUAAAUAGCCGAGACGGCCGGGCCGGCCGCGUGGAUCAGCCCCGAGAAACAAACCCCCGGCUCCGUCAAACUCCAGCCGGCUCCCAUCGGCCCCGCUCCCUCCCGAGAGAAAACGGGAACGCCGCGUGAGCCCGCGUGCUGCCGGGGGAACGGGCGCAGGAGCCGGCUGCAGCGCUGCCCUCAUAUUGAGUGGCCCGGGGAUGGAUGCUCCCCGGCGCGGUGCCGAGCCGCUCCGCUCUGCGCUGAGGGGCGGUUCCUCUCGUCGGCGAAAAACCUCGCCGGCUUUUUCCUCUUUUAAAACAGAAGACGAUGAAAAAAAAAAAGAAGAAGAAUUAAAAAAAAAAAAUGUUAAAAAAGAAAAAAAAAAAAGGAAAAAAAAUAGAAAAAGAACCGUGAAGCGAGUGAUGACGACGACGACGAUGAUGAUGAUGAUGGUACGCGGGGCGACGUGCCGACCAUCUCUCAGCAGAUAUCUGCCACGGGGCCGGGAGGAGAUGGAGAACGUGGAGAAGAUGAUGAUGAUGAUGGAGAUGAUGGAGAAGAUGCUGCUGGGAGCGCAGCUCGGCUCCGUGCCAGGAGAUCUGGGCGCUGUGGGUCCCUCCUCUUCCUCCCUGCAGCGCGUGGGGCGCAGCCCGGCCCCGCUGGGGUAGGUGGGCUCCUGCGGGCGCAGAGCAAGGGAACGGCAGAGCUCGGCGAGGAAAGGGAGCGGAUGGAAGGAGGCGGCGCGGGGCCGAGGAGAUGGGGCAGCACCCGGUUACGCAGAGCGGCGAGAGAACGCCGGGCCUGGCUCCCGCAAUAGCUGCUGAGAGACCAAAACGUCGUUCACUCCCCCCCCCCACACACACCCCCGAGUACCUUGACGAAAGAAGAAAGUUUUAUUCCUCUUAUUUUUUUAAUGAAAGAAAGAAAAAAAAAUAAAGCAAACCAUGCACUUUACGCGGCCCA
RNAcentral lists this long non-coding RNA (1969 nucleotides) under Numida meleagris (helmeted guineafowl). RNAcentral's name for it is "lncRNA (ENSNMEG00000019903.1)". The record is from RNAcentral. Lineage: Eukaryota; Metazoa; Chordata; Aves; Galliformes; Numididae.